RNA transcript from Solenopsis invicta (red fire ant), 3210 nucleotides. RefSeq lists it as uncharacterized. The record is from RefSeq and is a predicted model, not a curated record. NCBI's taxonomy places the organism in Eukaryota, Metazoa, Arthropoda, Insecta, Hymenoptera, Formicidae. The transcript has 9 exons.
UCUUUGCUCAAAUUCAAAUUUUUAUUAAAUAAAAGUUUAUCAUUAAAGGAAUUAGUUAUUUGAUAAUGUAACAAUGUAGAAAAGUAUUAUAACCGUGAAUUUUUCUAUUUUCUCUUAGCUUUCCUAGUUUGUGCCAUAUGACAAAGAAAUAGUCAAAGGACGUCCUUAGGAUCGACUUAGGACUUGGCCGACCUAAGGACGUCUUUAGAUUCGGCUUAGGACUUAGAUGUUUUGAGGACAUCCUACAAUGUGCUGUGUGAGUGACUUAAAAUUACGUCCAGUGGGUAUAACGUAGGCUGUAUAUAGAAUUCUUUUAGUUUAUUUAAUAUUUCUCGGGUAGUUCUAAAAUUGUCAUCCUAGUAUAAUGUCCUAUGUCCGUCCCAUUAUUGUCCGGGAACAUUCAGGACGAAUUCAGGAUCAUCCCGAAGACGUCUUGUGCUAUUAGGGCAGUUUUUCCGAGGAAAGAGGAAUUAUUGUAUAUUACUUCUUAAAGUAUUAAUAUUAUUAUUCUGGCUUCAUGACUGUGUUUCAAGUCCGACAAAAUGCGGCUCGCAGUUUGAGUUGGGAAAUGUAAAAUUAAAAAUUAUUAAUUGGCACCAAGAACCAAGAACCGUUAUGACUGAUAUAGGCCUUCUAUUUUUGCGUUUUAAUCACUUAACUAUUAAUUAGUUUUUAUGUUUUCUUUAUAUGUACAAUGGUAAUAUUAUAGAUAUCAUAGCUUGUGGUAUAAAAUACCUGUGAAGGAACAAAGGAUGCUCCUGUUCGUGAUGAGAAAAAGCAUCGAAGCUACUGCCUUGACCGCUGGCAAAAUAUACGUGUUUUCUUUAGAAAAUUUUACAACGGUAAAUCAAUAUUAUAGAUAUUACUAAAAUAUUUUUUGUAGUCCGAAAAGAUAUGUAAAACCUUUAACCGUUCUCACAUCUAGGUUGUGCAAAGCUCUAUGUCGUAUUUUACACUAUUAUCGUCUUUGGACGUGUAAUCAAUACCUCACGAUUACGGCAGAAAGCAGUAAAAUAUCCGCGAGAAGAAUAUUUCGCAGAAGUAUAGUAUUAUAAAUUAUAUAUCAAAUAAAGUAAUAUAUAUUUGCUAUAAUUUAAUAAAACAAAAUUUGAUGAAAUUUUAUUUUAUCAAAUAUUUUAUCGAAAAAAAUGUUAAAGAACCAAAAAAACCUUUGCCUUCCGAUCUUUUUCAAAGACAUUGAAACUUUAAAAUAUAAAAAUUUUUUUGCGUUUAUUUUAUCUUUCGUUAUAAACUUGCGAAACUCUCGAGUAUACGUUCUCGAAUGAACGUAUCGUUUGCUAUACAAAUAUUGGUAGUGAUCGUCUCGAUUUCUAUUUUGAGAAUUUAAGCACACAUAUAGUACGGAAUAAAUUGGAAUUAUUUAAUUAUUCCCCAGAUUCUUCUAUUUUGUUUUUCUAUAAAACAAACUGAAUAAUUUUGAUCAGAGUUUAUUCCCAAUAAUUUCAUAACACGUGCUCUAUUUUAAUCAGUGUAUCCUUUGAAAUAAUUUCACGGAAAACACGUAUAUCGUUUCGCGCACACACAGUGUUCUAAAUGUAUUUUUAUAUAAAAAAAAAUUAAAUAAAGAGGAAGAACCAACCCUACUAAUUAUUUAAAAUUUUAGAGCAUGAAUAUUUUACUUCGAAGACAAUUGUCACGCAAUAAUAUUACACGCGUACAGCGUCAUACGAACUUUUAUUCUCUUUGAUAUCCCGAUCGAUAUGUUCCGCAUGAAAGAAAAUUGUCUCGUUCAUUGACAAGCCGCUCGCAUUCAUUUUCUACGAGGCAUGACACCGCGAAAUUAUUAUAUCAAGAGUUCCCGACUUGUGUGGUAUUUUCCUGCGUUUGCCAUUACGCCCGCUGAAAUAUUAAUUAAUCUCUCACAAGACAAAACAAGACGAGAAAUUUAGUUCACUUUGUGCCGCCUCGGGUGAAACACAGAACUGAAAACGAUGGAUUCCGCACGGAAUCAAUAUUUCAGUAUUACAAAGACGAUGCUAUCAUUCACUGGUCUCUGGCCUUAUCAAGAAAAAGGAACAAGAUUGUUUCGAGUGAGCUUGAUGACUGUGAUCACUCUUUCGUUGAUGAUUCCUCAGAUAGCCGAAAUUAAUCUCUGUAAAGGAAACGUACAACGUAUUUUUCUGACGAUACCGGCACUUAUGUUGAUGAUUGUAAUUCUGGUGAAACUAUACACGUUCCAGUUUAACAGUAGUAAAAUCAAAAGUCUUACUGAUCAUCUGCGUAAUGACUGGAAAAAGUUAAAAGGCGCGGAAGAAUAUAAAAUUAUGAAAAAAUAUGCCGCAAAUGCAAGACUGUUUUCUUUUGCAAUAUGUGUAUGGUAUCACAUAGCUUGUUUUGUGUUCAUAUUUAUUGGUCUUGCACCGAACGUACUGAAUGCCGUAUUACGUCUCAAUGAAUCCCGAUCUAUAGCUUUUCCUUAUCCGGCCUAUUACUUUGGCCUGGACAACGAAAAGUACCUUUUCUACAUUUAUUCCCAUAUGUAUGUGUGUUGUGAGAUAGCUAUAACAGUGGUAAUCGCGCACGACUGCAUGCUGUUGGUUUAUAUUGAGCACGCCUGUAGCAUUUUCGCUGUAGCUGGAUUUCGAUUUAAAACUUUAUUACGUACCAAUUGUGGCGAUAAAAUGAAUAACAGUUUGUAUGCGUACAAUCAGAAGAUCGCUAAAUCCGUGUACGCACACUGUCGAGCUUUAAACUUCGCGAAUUUUCUUGAAAAUACCUUUUGCGUUGCCUUUACCGUACAAAUAAUAAUAGUUAUCGUAGCGAUGAGCAUCACUCUGCUACAAGUCGCGGAACAGGUGAACAAAAUUACGGAAAUAAUGAAGUACUUGUUAUACUUCUUUUCUCAACUGGUCCACUUAUUCUGUUAUAGUCUGGAAGGCCAAAAGUUGGUAGAUCAUAGCGCAGAAAUACGCGACAGGAUAUAUAAUUCUUCUUGGUACAACAUACCCGUGAAAUCUCAAAGAUUGCUCCUGUACGUGAUGCGCAGGAGCACGAAACCGAAUUCUUUGAGCGCCGGCAAGAUUUUUGUCUUUUGUCUGAUGAGUUUCACCACAGUCGUGCAGUCUUCGGUGUCGUAUUUUACCGUACUUCAAUCCUUCCAGUAAUCUAUGAUGUAAUUCAAAUAGUUUAAUAUUUGUGCAAUCAUAAUUAUUGUAGUAAUUAAUAAAGAUUAUGUAGAGAAAAUAAUAU